RNAcentral lists this ribosomal RNA (370 nucleotides) under uncultured prokaryote. RNAcentral describes it as "bacterial SSU rRNA". It matches the Rfam family "Bacterial small subunit ribosomal RNA", at positions 524 to 896 of the family's 1533-position model. The record is from RNAcentral.
GACGAAGGAUCCAAGCGUUAUCCGGAUUCAUUGGGUUUAAAGGGUGCGUAGGCGGAUUUGUAAGUCAGUGGUGAAAGCCGAUAGCUCAACUAUCGAACUGCCAUUGAUACUGCAGAUCUAGAAUAUAGAUGAUGUUGGCGGAAUAUGACAUGUAGCGGUGAAAUGCAUAGAUAUGUCAUAGAACACCGAUUGCGAAGGCAGCUGACAAAACUAUUAUUGACGCUGAUGCACGAAAGUGCGGGGAUCAAACAGGAUUAGAUACCCUGGUAGUCCGCACAGUAAACGAUGAUAACUAGUUGUUUGCGAUAUACAGUAAGCGACCAAGCGAAAGCGAUAAGUUAUCCACCUGGGGAGUACGCCGGCAACGGUG